Molecule: long non-coding RNA, 444 nt
Filed under: Homo sapiens (human)
Lineage: Eukaryota; Metazoa; Chordata; Mammalia; Primates; Hominidae
Description: non-protein coding lnc-SLC35E4-1:2
Source: RNAcentral
CAUAAUUAUAUGUAUUUUUGGGGUACAGGGUGAUAUUUUGGCUCAUGUAUACCACGUGUAAUGAUCAAAUCAAAGUAACUAGCAUAUCCAUCACCUCAAACAUUUAUCAUUUCUUUGUGUUGGGAACAUCCAAACUCCUGUCUUCCGGUUAUUUGAAAAUAUACAAUACAUUAUUAUUAACUGUAGUCACCCUACAGUGCUGUAGAACACUAGAACUUAUUCCUCCUGUCUAGCUGUAGUUCUGUAUCCAUUAACCAACCUCUCCUUCAGCCCCAACCUCUGGGGCUCAAGUGAUCCUCCCACCUCAGCCUCCUGAGUAGCUGGGAAUACAGGUGUGCACACCACCACACAUGGCUAAUUUUUAGAUUUUUUUUUUUUUUUGAGGUGGAGUUUCACUCUUGUUGCCCAGGCUGGAGUGCAAUGGCGCCAUCUCGGCUCACUGCA